GUGAGGAAUAUUGGUCAAUGGACGAGAGUCUGAACCAGCCAAGUCGCGUGAAGGAAGACGGUUCUAUGAAUUGUAAACUUCUUUUGUGCAGGAAUAAAGUGGGUUACGUGUAACCUUUUGUAUGUACUGUACGAAUAAGGAUCGGCUAACUCCGUGCCAGCAGCCGCGGUAAUACGGAGGAUCCGAGCGUUAUCCGGAUUUAUUGGGUUUAAAGGGUGCGUAGGUGGAUGGAUAAGUCAGCGGUGAAAGUUUGCAGCUUAACUGUAAAAUUGCCGUUGAAACUGUCGGUCUUGAGUGCAAAUGAGGUAGGCGGAAUGUGUUGUGUAGCGGUGAAAUGCUUAGAUAUAACACAGAACUCCGAUUGCGAAGGCAGCUUACUGGGAUGCAACUGACACUGAUGCACGAAAGCGUGGGUAUCAAACAGGAUUAGAUACCCUUGUAGUCC
Molecule: ribosomal RNA, 445 nt
Filed under: uncultured bacterium
Lineage: Bacteria
Description: partial 16S ribosomal RNA
Rfam family: Bacterial small subunit ribosomal RNA
Source: RNAcentral